CGGAGCACUUCUCUCCAAUCAACAAAUUUGUGUGUUAGAGCACUUCUCUCCAACUGACAAUUUUGGUGCACUUCUCACCAAUUGUUGAUGCACUUCUCACCAACCUUUGCUUUUGAUCUUCUUGGAGCACUUCUCUCCAAACUUCAUAAAAGAGAUUCUUCCUCUUGUGCUAAAUUUGCUUCUUCAUUUUUAAACCCGUAAUCUUUUAACAAAUGUCCAAAUUUUUUGCAAUUAAAACAUUGUGGUUUGCUUUUAUGCCGAUAAUUCUUUUCUUCAUGAUUAAAUUUUUUGCAAAUAACACAUUGUAAAAAUUUUUUCUUUGUGGAUGAUUUUGCUGCUAGAAAGGCUCCCUCAAUUGUUCCUUCUUGUCUGAUUGCUUUUCUUUGCUCCAUAGUCUGCAAAGUAUCGAUUAAUUCUGUAAUAGUUAUUUGUGAAAAAUUUGCAUGAACCUCAAGUGAGGAAAUUUUUUGCUCAAACUUCUCAGGGAGGCUAACAAAUAUUUUUUUCUAUAAUUCUUUUGUCAAGAAAUUCUUCACCAAGUAGUCUAAUUUUGUUGGCUAUGGACAUGAGCUUAGUGCAAUAGUUUUUGACAUUUUCAAACACUUUCAUUUUUUGAAUCUCAAAUUCUCUUUUGAGAUUUAAAAUUUGCAUGAACCUUGUUUGAUCAUUGCCUUCAUACACCUUCUUGAGCAAAUCCCAAGCUUUUUUUGCAUUUUCACAAGCCAUAAUCUUUAUGAAAAUGGUUUCAGAAACUGAAGAUUCUAUACAAGUUUUUGCCUUGUAUUUCUUAGCUCUCUUCUCAUUGUAAAUUUUAUUUGAGCAAGAGUUGGAUUUUCUAGUAGUGGAGUAGGAUCAGUAUUAUUUUCUACUGAAUCCCAUAAAUCAAAAGCUUAUAAAUAGGGCUUCAUUUUGAUAGCCCAUAUUUAAUAAUUUUCUCCUGAAAAUAUAGGGGUGAAGACAAGGAGAAAUUAGUUGAGACCAUUGAUGAAUCAAGGACUUAAAGGUUUGCUCAUAGGAUAACUGAGGCUUUGAUACCACUGUUGGAAUAAAAAAUUAAUGCGGAAGAAUAAAGAAUAUUUUUAUUGAAUAGAAAG
This 1094-nucleotide unclassified non-coding RNA is filed under the name Hevea brasiliensis (rubber tree). The record is from RNAcentral. Lineage: Eukaryota; Viridiplantae; Streptophyta; Magnoliopsida; Malpighiales; Euphorbiaceae.